ACGUUGCCAUGAUGUUCCGUGGCCCGGCCGUGGCUGGCGUGAUCCCACCAGAGUGAGCUGGAGCAGAUCUGCACCAUGAGCCAAGUUUCUCAGAAAAUAUAUGGCUGUCCUGUGGGCCGCAGCCUAAUGCCCACAUUCUUCUCGGGGCAGAUCAAAGGUUAUUCAACCAGGGCAAAGGACAGCCUUGCAAACCAACUACGUCCUCCUUCUGGAGUUUGUGUGACCCCUGGUCCCUGAGCCCGCACCCUCUCGGAGCGGGGUUCCAACUCCGUGGAAGCUCUGCUGAGAUGCAGAUGGCUUUGGAGGGGUGCAAAUGCUACGUGUUUGGAAGAGCAGGGGAGGCCUGCAGCUCUCAGUCACCUGUCUCCAUCUUCGGAGGAGGGAGUCGCGACCAAUGAAAUCCAUGCCCUAAGAAAGAAAGGAAACGCCGAGUCAUCCAGCAACACUCAGACCCUUGGCACAGAAAGCAGCACCGUGGGAAGGGUCCCCUGGUGUCACUGCAAUGGGGCACAGCUGCCUCCUCCCACAACCCUGUCAGCUUUU
RNAcentral lists this non-coding RNA (543 nucleotides) under Pongo abelii (Sumatran orangutan). The record is from RNAcentral. Lineage: Eukaryota; Metazoa; Chordata; Mammalia; Primates; Hominidae.